This 483-nucleotide long non-coding RNA is filed under the name Eucalyptus grandis. Its description in RNAcentral is "long non-coding RNA (EGRA_LNC006475)". The record is from RNAcentral. Lineage: Eukaryota; Viridiplantae; Streptophyta; Magnoliopsida; Myrtales; Myrtaceae.
CCAACGUGGGGAGGGCUCGAGCCCUGAGCCAGCACGGCUCCAGCGAGCAAUGCUGUAAUUCAGACCUCCGGAAUUGUCUUCCAUGAUUGCAACAUGUUUGGCUUGCUUGAAAUGCCUGAAGUCACCGUUCCCUUUCUUUUCCGGUUUGAAUCGAAGGUAAUAGGAAGGGAGGUCUGAUCUUCACUUUGGGCUUUGAACUUUGAAGCAUUUGGUUAGCAUCCUAAACAAGCUGUGGGAACGGAUUGGAUUUUUAAUCUUAUGUGCUUUGGGAGAACACUAAAAGGACUACUUGAAGAACUGCUUUAGGGGCUGUUCUUUUCGUCCUCGAUUUUGUUUGGUACAAUGUUGACAUUUAGCUUCAACCAGGCUUUUUCUACGAUUCAGUUGGCUUGAAAACAGAAUCAUGUCUAUUGCGGAUCGUUGGAAGUUACUUCUCAUGGAAAUUGUUGAAACACGGAAAAUUAGUUUCAUCCUUGAUACAUC